GACGAACGCUGGCGGCGUGCCUAAUACAUGCAAGUAGAACGCUGAAGGAGGAUCUUGCUCUUCUGGAUGAGUUGCGAACGGGUGAGUAACGCGUAGGUAACCUGCCUGGUAGCGGGGGAUAACUAUUGGAAACGAUAGCUAAUACCGCAUAAGAGUAGAUGUUGCAUGACAUUUACUUAAAAGGUGCAAUUGCAUCACUACCAGAUGGACCUGCGUUGUAUUAGCUAGUUGGUGGGGUAACGGCUUACCAAGGCGACGAUACAUAGCCGACCUGAGAGGGUGGUCGGCCAAAAUGGGAAGGAGACAAGGCCCAGAAGACUACGGGAGGCAGCAGUAGGGAAACUUGGGAAAUGGACGGAAGUCUGACCGAGAAACGCCGCGUGAGUGAAGAAGGUUUUCGGAUCGUAAAGAUCUGUUGUAAGAGAAGAAAGAGUGUGAGAGUGGAAAGUUCACACAGUGACGGUAUCUUACCAGAAAGGGACGGCUAACUACGUG
Molecule: ribosomal RNA, 495 nt
Filed under: uncultured bacterium
Lineage: Bacteria
Description: partial 16S ribosomal RNA
Rfam family: Bacterial small subunit ribosomal RNA
Source: RNAcentral